RNAcentral lists this long non-coding RNA (3433 nucleotides) under Homo sapiens (human). RNAcentral's name for it is "HSALNT0296599". Lineage: Eukaryota; Metazoa; Chordata; Mammalia; Primates; Hominidae. The record is from RNAcentral.
GUCUUACUCCUGUUGGUUGAAGAUGGAAGAAGUCUUGCAUUUGUACUUCCUUGUGCAGGGGCCCACAUAUGGGUGUUCCGUCAUUCCAGUAACUUUACAUUGCUUGGUAAUUGACUGGUUUUCCAAAGAGAAGGGAACUGAAUUGUCUCCCCCUCCUCUGCACACACUUUGUUGUUUUAAGUCUGCACCUUUGCUUGCUGUUGCCUCCACUGCUUGGAAUGCGCCAUCUUCUCAGCCUCAGCCUGGUCAGCAGUUACUGGGUCAGUAAGAGUCAGCUGAGGUCUCACUCUGUGAAGUUUCCCUGACCUCAUUUUGACCUCCUAGACUGGCCAAGGUUCCCCUUUUCUGUACUCCCAUGCCGUACUGGGUAUUGCUCUCUCCAGUGCACAGUUAUCACACCAUACUACAAAGACCUGCCUCUCUCACUGGGCUCUCCAUCCCUUUAAGGCUGGCACAUAGCACUCACUCAUGACAUGGUUGUUGAAUGAAUGAAUGGCCUUCCUCCAUUCUCUCCCAGUCCUUUUUUUUUUUUUUUUUUUCACUCUGGGCACCACCAUUCCUUCUCUCUCAUUCUGCAUUGUUUAUGGCUUGUUAGUUAUUAAUGCAAAGCCAUUUCUGGGUCUCUAGACCCAUUGGUAAUGGCCAUUGGUAAUGUCUCUAGGUGUUAAUAAUAACACUAGCUCACAUCUACUGAGCACUUACUAUUUGGCUGGCACUGUUCUAAGCACUUUGCAUGUUUAAACUCCUUUAAACGUUCCUUUGUUGCCGCUUUUUUUUCUGCUAGGGACUAACCUUGACAUUGUGGGGGAGAGGUGUUCUCGUAUAGCUGUGGGACUGUAACAUGGCUUUAUUUUCCUAUUAUGUGCAGGACAGUAAAUCCUGCAGAGGAAUACAAGUUGACUAGGUCUGUCAUCACUCAAAUACUGGAAGAUAUGGCUGGGAAAAAACCAACAACAAAAAGUUUUGAUAUCCUCAUAGUGCAAUGACAUUACAGUUUUAUUUUGUUUUGUUUUUUUCUUUAUGCGUAGUUCUAAAUUACUGUAUUAUGUUUCAGGUAAUUAAGCCAGAAGAACAAAUUGGGAUGGACUGUUGUAUUUACAUUUCAGUUUACUAGAGGUAGCCUUGAAAUAGUUACAAAAAUAUGAAUAUCAGUGGGGAAAAAAAUAAGGGGGAUUUUCAUUUUUUUUUUUCCAGAAACGAUAAAUUGGCAAGGAAGACAGAUACGGGAAAAUCAGUCAUGAGAAUUUGUCUUUCAGUGACUCUUUCUUGGCUGGGAAGAAAAGCUUUUCUUCUAUUUAGUUGAGAACAGUGACAAGGAUUAUUUUACUUGAGGAUGGCAGAUUAUUUUACCAGCAGCUGGCAGAUGAGAAUAAUUCCCUAGACAACAAGGAGGGGCAGUAUGGUAGGGAGGGAACCCGGUUCGGAGGGUCUGGGGUUCACAGCUCCACAGUGCUGCUUACCAGCUCUUAGCCUUCAUUACAUUGCUUACCUUCCUGGAGGUUCAGUUUCCUUAUCCAUAAAAUGGGGGUCAGGUUGCCAAAUUUAUCAAAUAAGAAUCUAGGAUGUCCAGUUAAAGCUGAAUUUCAGAUAAAUAAUUAUUUUUUAGUGUAAAUAUGUCCCAUAAAAUAUUUAUGUCCCAUGCAAUAACUAUGUCCCUAAUGGUGCGUGGGACAUAUGCUAAAACAUUAUUUGUUGUUUAUCUGAAAUUCAAAUUUAACUGUGCGGCCUAUAUUUUUUCUGGCAACCCUAAAUGCGGGCAGGGGCAGUGGUGGUGACAUGUAGGGAUGGUGUGAGGAUAAAAUAAUACCACAGUUAGGUUUUAUCGCAGUGUGUAGUCUGUGUGUAGUCAACACAUAACUAUAAGUAGUGACUGUAACAUAACUGUAACUGGUGCAUAGUAAAAAACAAAUGGAUAUUAUUAGUAUAAUAGUUGUUAUUAAUAAAGGUCUUUAAAUGACAAUUGGCCAUACAGGAGCCUUUGGGGAAAAGUUUCUGACUCUAAAUUAAGGGAAGGUAAAUUAUGAUCAAGAUCUGGGAAUAAGAUUUAGACUUACACAGUAAUAAUUUGAGGAAGAGAAAGACUUAGUAAAUUAGUUAUGUAAUUACAUAAUUAACAACUUGGGAGGUUUUCUUUACACGUUUAUUCCCUAGGGCAUCAUCUUUAAAUUAUAUUUAGUUUUUGCUAAGUUGACCAGUUUGUGGUUUUAAGUGUUUACUUUCUUUUCUUUUGAAAUGUAGGGAAAGCAUAUUUGACAUCAUCUUAAAGAAAUUAUGUAGCCAUAUAAAACCGGAGGGUAGGGUCUACUGGCCAGGAAAAAAAAAGGCCUUUACUGCCACCUGGUGGCCAUAUUCUUUAACUGCAAUGUGCCUAAGUGAGGCUGGAAAGGAAAGCGUUGGAAAACAUGCUAAACCCAGAGGGCACCAAGGCCGCGUCAUGACAGUAAGAGCCGUCAAGUACUGUGUCCUUUCCCUCAGUUCUCAAUCUCUCACAGCUUGAGGCUUGAGAAUUAGCAGCUGGCUACGAGAGGUGGAGGAGAGAAAAUGGUGAAGUCCAUGCCUUCCUCCUUGGUACCGAGUUUCCAAACCUGAAGUGAAGGAGUCUGAGAGGGGAGAAGCUUCAGUAUGAAAGUUUUCAAGACGCCUACAAGUGGAAAAUGCACUCCUCCCAGCCAAAUCAAGCUUCGCCAGAUUCCUUACAGCUGUGUGCAGUGAAAUGACUAAUGAAAGAGCCCUCUGCUGCUGGUGGAACUUUCACAUAUGGCACUGUUAUGCCACUCAGCAGGACCCGACCCUGGUAUUUACAUAUUGGAUGUCACCCCAAAAGCCCCUGACCAGGGGGUUUCCGGGAUGUAAUAAGAAUGCCACUCUGGGCUUUGGAAGGUGCACCGUAUGCACACCCAUACUAUAGGGCAGGGGUUAGCAUUUCAGACCCCUGUUCCUCCCUUGACAAGCAAGUGCUUUUCUCCAGGGAAGACGUUCAGGUUCAUUCAUAGAUCCAUUGGUGCCGUGGGCAGCUCAGUAACAAUAGCUCUGCUGCCUACCAGCUGCUGGUGGAGGUGUUGAGAAUACCUAAUGAGGAAGUCAGGGCCCCUGCGUGCUUCAGCAGAGCUGGAUGCCUGGCAUGGCAAUCAAUGGACACAAACCUUUGGAUAAUUUCCGUCCUUGGCGGUGUGUUCUAUAGCAUAGGUAUGAAGUGGGUGCUCUGGGAGCUCAGAAGAGGGGCUCUUCUCUUAACUUAUGGGUGGCCAGGGAAGGCUUCCUGGAGCUCAAAUGACUGAGUGGAGUCUUCAACAUUAAAAAAAAAAAAAAGAAAAAAAAAGUGCUUCCCUCCCACCCCCAGUUAAAAAGGUAAUACACCUCAUUGAAAUAAUUUAAACUUUACAGAAAUGUGUUCCUUUAAAGUUCAGAGAGUAAAGAGGAAGUAAUAAAGCUG